AUCAUACUAGCAUGCCUUAAAUUUUACUUUAGAAUUAUUUUGUUUAUCCAUAAAAUCGAACAUUAGAUUUGUGUUCAUUUGAAUCCUCUUAACAACGUAUAAUUGAGAGGAUUAUUUGCAUCUUUUCCACUUAGUUAAAGUGAGAAAACACCAAGAUUAGCCAACUCACAUUUUGAGUGUCGAGCUUUCUGCUUACAGUUAAUUUCUGAGCAGGUACAAUAAAAUGAGACUCUCAAAGCCAACACUGAUUCUCUUUGUCUUUUUCAUCUUCACUGUAACGUGUGUUGUUCAAAUGGAAGCAGUGAUCAACGAACGAGUUGUUGAUGCUGGCUCUGGAAGUAGUUCUGUCAAUGUUGUUAGAAGAGGUGAAUGUGAAAAACAAGGCGUUGAGUGCAAGCAAGUAAAUGGUGGUAAUGAAGAUAACGAUUUGGAGAGUGAAGACUAUAUCUACACCAACUCAGUGUUACCCUAGAUGAAACACACUGCUUGCAUGUAUUAUGAAGUAAUUUAUUCCUUACUAUUUCAAUUCCUCUACUGAAUGAUGAUGUAUUUUAGUUGUGAUUUUGUUUGAAGCUAGUCAUAUUCAUAAUUGCAAAGGAAUGGAUAGAUGUUGUUAUGA
Molecule: long non-coding RNA, 619 nt
Organism: Medicago truncatula (barrel medic)
Lineage: Eukaryota; Viridiplantae; Streptophyta; Magnoliopsida; Fabales; Fabaceae
Exons: 3
Source: RefSeq, a predicted model, not a curated record